Molecule: ribosomal RNA, 465 nt
Filed under: Vreelandella stevensii
Lineage: Bacteria; Pseudomonadati; Pseudomonadota; Gammaproteobacteria; Oceanospirillales; Halomonadaceae
Description: partial 16S ribosomal RNA
Rfam family: Bacterial small subunit ribosomal RNA
Source: RNAcentral
CCUACGGGAGGCAGCGGUGGGGAAUAUUGGACAAUGGGGGCAACCCUGAUCCAGCCAUGCCGCGUGUGUGAAGAAGGCCCUCGGGUUGUAAAGCACUUUCAGUGAGGAAGAACGCCUGGUGGUUAAUACCCAUCAGGAAAGACAUCACUCACAGAAGAAGCACCGGCUAACUCCGUGCCAGCAGCCGCGGUAAUACGGAGGGUGCGAGCGUUAAUCGGAAUUACUGGGCGUAAAGCGCGCGUAGGUGGCUUGAUAAGCCGGUUGUGAAAGCCCCGGGCUCAACCUGGGAACGGCAUCCGGAACUGUCAAGCUAGAGUGCAGGAGAGGAAGGUAGAAUUCCCGGUGUAGCGGUGAAAUGCGUAGAGAUCGGGAGGAAUACCAGUGGCGAAGGCGGCCUUCUGGACUGACACUGACACUGAGGUGCGAAAGCGUGGGUAGCAGACAGGAUUAGAUACCCGAGUAGUC